AGAUUGAACGCUGGCGGCAUGCCUUACACAUGCAAGUCGAACGGCAGCACGGGGGCAACCCUGGUGGCGAGUGGCGAACGGGUGAGUAACAUAUCGGAACGUGCCCUGGAGUGGGGGAUAACUAGUCGAAAGAUUAGCUAAUACCGCAUACGAUCUACGGAUGAAAGUGGGGGAUCGCAAGACCUCAUGCUCGUGGAGCGGCCGAUAUCUGAUUAGCUAGUUGGGUGGGGUAAAGG
RNAcentral lists this ribosomal RNA (236 nucleotides) under uncultured soil bacterium. RNAcentral describes it as "partial 16S ribosomal RNA". It matches the Rfam family "Bacterial small subunit ribosomal RNA", at positions 26 to 263 of the family's 1533-position model. The record is from RNAcentral.